GCCUGACUGGCUCAGUCGGAAGAGCAUGGGACUCUUGAUCUCGGGGGUUGUGGGUUUGAGCCCCACGUUGGGUG
RNAcentral lists this transfer RNA (74 nucleotides) under Felis catus (domestic cat). It matches the Rfam family "tRNA". Rfam says of the family: Transfer RNA (tRNA) molecules are approximately 80 nucleotides in length. Their secondary structure includes four short double-helical elements and three loops (D, anti-codon, and T loops). Lineage: Eukaryota; Metazoa; Chordata; Mammalia; Carnivora; Felidae. The record is from Rfam by way of RNAcentral. RNAcentral also lists the same sequence under 3 other names.